AAUAAUUUUACUGCUAUUACUAGUUGGAGGAGUAACACUGUAUAAAUCAGGCUUCUGUCACAAGGAGAAGAGCUCCAUCCCAUCUGGACGAGGUGUGUUUACUUCUACAGCACCUGCACUGUACUCCUCUGCAGACUUGGUCCUCGAUCCUCUUUCAGUCUGCCCUGCAAAUUUGGGCCUUGAAGCGGCUAUGGAUUCCCCCGUGAGUUUGGAUUCUGAUCCUCCCAUGGACUCCGCUGCAAGUUUGGGCACUGAACCUCUUGUGGCCUCCCCUGUGGACUUGGUCCUCGAACCUCCACUGGAUUCUCCUGUGGCAAUGGGACAUGCUCUGGUUCCCCCUCAGGAUGGGAGAGGAUCUCCACCAGGUUAGGGGAGUGCUCCAGAUUCCCCAGCUUCUGAACACCCAUAAGUGGAAAGGAAGGGGGUUCGGCUCAUUUCUGGCCCCACUUGACCCCCCCUCUCUCCUUGCCUUCAACCUACAAGCGCACGUACUGCUGAAGCAGACAGCUCGGCAUUAUAUACAAGUACCAGCAAUGAAACCAUGGUAACCUCAUCCUGGUUACCUGUCUGUACCUUAAUAUCAGGAUGGCCAGAUUAUAGGUUUGCAAGUCCUGUUACCUUUCAAAACAAAGAUAUUUUUUAACUCGACUACUUUAUCUUGACACUUCUAAGCCCUUUUAAAAGGGUGAUGUUAGGUGACCCUGUUGAACACUAUCAGUGUUUACAUCUUUAUUCAGCAGACAUGUUUUUGGAAGUGAUGUGCAGUUCAAAGUAAACAGCACAUUUCAGUUAGUCCAGUACCAGUGUUUUUACUGGUGUCCAUCACACAAAUAGCUCCAUGUAGAAUUGAUACUAAACAUCUCAUUGGCCUAUGUUUCCAUGCUACCUAACAUUUCAAUCACUGUCCUCAGUCUGCACUCGCACUUUGUUCUUGCUACCAGUCGGUUAAAGACAUGUAAUAUUAUUGUGCGACACAGACACAAGCUUGAAUAUUUUCUUGUGCCCUCUGUUUUUGUGAAAUUGAAGCAUGACAAAAUGGUACAGUGGCGCAGAGGGUAAUGCUACCACCUCAUAAUGCCUGAGCAAUUCGAGUUCGAUUGUGGCUCGGUCUACACGGAGGUAGUUUCCCACGCGAUUGUGUGGGUGUUUCCCUAGGUGCUCCGGUUUCCUCCCACAGUCCAAAUACCUGCAGUUCAGGUGAUGGAAUGAUGUCUCAUUCUUGCACCCAGUGAAUCUGGGAUGGGCUCCAGAUUGCUGCAACCGUGAUCAGCAUCAUUACUGCCUGCUUGGCCCACAGAAAGGAAGAACAAGAUUUCAGUUGCUUUCUUAGUCUACCUCAUGACACUGCACUUUGACAGCAGUGCUUAUAAUGCAGAGCUUCAUAGGGUUUUUGGUACAUUUGUUGUAGGAAUAUGGUGAGAUGUAAGUACUGGACUGGGGUUCUUGCAGCCAUCCAAGAAACUUUUGACAAAAGGUUUUAUUUGUCUUCAUGUAUUGUCUUGUUGAACCAGCAGGCAAAUUUUUAUUUUGGUGGUGUUAUGGAAUGUAACCCAAUGGCGCAUACUAAUGUACUUUAAUGUUAUAGCCUUUCAGGGACAACUGACAGUGUAGGGGUUAUAGCUAUUGCCUUUAGAUCCAUGGGUGGCAAGUUCAAAUCUCACCUAGUGCUGUGGUACACUUGAGCAACACCCUUCAUUGUAAAAUUACUCAUGUAGACUGUCUGAACACCCUCCUUGGAGUUAUUACGAAGGACUACGUGAUGAUUGCACCCGUGAUAUAUUAUAAUCCUUGGGUGCUGAGCUCUCGCUCUAUGUAUUUGGCUGUAUUUGCAGUUUCUUGGUCCACUCUUUGUAUGUUACUGGUUUACACUUUGUUCAAACAAUAUACUAGUGACAUGGGGGGAAAAGAAAUGGUCCACAGGUUCCAGUUUUGCAGAAUCUAGACAUGUGGGGAAAAGUCUGUUGCUGGUUUUGCUGACUAUGUUUGUUUUGUACUGUCUUUGUAUGUUACUGUGAACCAAUAACCUACUUCUACAAUGUAACUACAUGCGUUUCAGGUCCCUCUGCUGUUGAUAUCACUAGCAAAAAAGUGGAGAACUAAUGUGGACCCCCCCUUGGAGAAUAAGAUGUACUAAAGUGAUGUUCAUUUCUGUAGUAUUUACUGUAUAACUGUGUCCAUGAAUGUUUGUAUCACACUGGAAUCUCUUAUUCUACACAUCUGUAG
This is a long non-coding RNA of Scleropages formosus (Asian bonytongue), 2223 nucleotides long. RefSeq lists it as uncharacterized. The transcript has 2 exons. Lineage: Eukaryota; Metazoa; Chordata; Actinopteri; Osteoglossiformes; Osteoglossidae. The record is from RefSeq and is a predicted model, not a curated record.